AGGUGGCAUCAUGCCACCUUGAACACACCCAAGCUUGUCUGUUUUUGGAAGAUUAGUGGGGUCGGGCCUGGUGAAUACUUGGAUGGGAGACAAGAGAAUGCCAGGAAUUUCCAUGUA
Molecule: ribosomal RNA, 117 nt
Filed under: Anolis carolinensis (green anole)
Lineage: Eukaryota; Metazoa; Chordata; Lepidosauria; Squamata; Anolidae
Source: RNAcentral